This 217-nucleotide long non-coding RNA is filed under the name Capsicum annuum. RNAcentral describes it as "long non-coding RNA (CANN_LNC004109)". The record is from RNAcentral. Lineage: Eukaryota; Viridiplantae; Streptophyta; Magnoliopsida; Solanales; Solanaceae.
CAGCAACUCUAGACAUAUUAGGAAAUGGGCCAAAUCCUGGUGGGUAAAAUGGAUCACUAGUUUGAGCUGGGUCAAAAUUUGGAUCAUUUGAAGUCAAAAGUCCAGGGAUUGAAGACGGUGGGGCUUGUCCAUUCAACCAAUCUUGGUACAUCUCUGCCAUCUGUUGUUUUAAUUACUUUAUUUCUUCCAUUGAUACUACUUCCUGUGAAAUCAACUG